Molecule: long non-coding RNA, 519 nt
Organism: Drosophila serrata
Lineage: Eukaryota; Metazoa; Arthropoda; Insecta; Diptera; Drosophilidae
Source: RefSeq, a predicted model, not a curated record
UCAUCAUCAAUUGACUGGACUGGCCAUGACCAUCGGAAAAGGUCUAGCCUGAGGCUACUGUACUGGAUUUUUCGGUGUCUAGUAUAGCCUUGCCCAGACAGGGGGGCCCUUGAAGUCCGGAUCAGAUUGGGAUGUGUUGUUCCUAUUACAGCUGCCCUUGCCCCUUGGCCCAUCUCAGAUACUGUAAACAGAUCGUUAAACUAAAUAUUUAUUGUUUAGUCUGGGAACAUUCGCAGUGGCUUCAAGAAAGGCGAUCUUGAAUGAGUAACAGCAUGGGGAUAAAGAUAUAUACCUAUUUCGAUAUUUGCUGUCAUCUCUAGCACAGUCUGAGGAAUUAUGUUUCACUUCAGCCACAAGCAAUUCGUUUUGCCAGAUCAACUUCAAUUUCUGCUAAUAGUUUUUCUGGUUUUGUAAAUUAAUCAUGUUUUCCAGACUUCAAAUGUUUAGUCUAGAAAGUUUAUAUUUAUUUGAAAAAUGACACUUCAAUUUGCAAGAAGAAAUAAAGUUAAAAUAAAAGAU